AGCAGCCGCGGUAAUUCCAGUUCCAAUAGCGUAUAUUAAAGUUGUUGCAGUUAAAAAGCUCGUAGUUGAAUUUCGGGAUCAAUUUAUCGGUCGUGCCUAUGGUAUGAACUGGUACAAUUGGUUUCUCCCUUCUGACGAAGCAUGAUGUCAUUAAUUUGGUGUCGUGGGGAAUCAGGACUGUUACUUUGAAAAAAUUAGAGUGUUUAAAGCAAGCAUUAGCUUGAAUACAUUAGCAUGGAAUAAUGAAAUAGGACGUUUGAUCCUAUUUCGUUGGUUUCUAGGAUCGACGUAAUGAUUAAUAGGGAUAGUUGGGGGCAUUAGUAUUCAAUUGUCAGAGGUGAAAUUCUUGGAUUUAUUGAAGACUAACUACUGCGAGAGCAUUUGCCAAGGACGUUUUCAUUAAUCAAGAACGAAAGUUAGGGGAUCGAAGACGAUCAGAUACCGUCGUAGUCUUAACCAUAAACUAUGCCGACUAGGGAUCGGAUGAUGUUAAUUUUUUAAUGACUCA
RNAcentral lists this ribosomal RNA (508 nucleotides) under uncultured fungus. Its description in RNAcentral is "SSU rRNA". It matches the Rfam family "Eukaryotic small subunit ribosomal RNA", at positions 569 to 1078 of the family's 1831-position model. The record is from RNAcentral. Lineage: Eukaryota; Fungi.